RNAcentral lists this transfer RNA (85 nucleotides) under Paramecium bursaria Chlorella virus NY2A. It matches the Rfam family "tRNA". Rfam says of the family: Transfer RNA (tRNA) molecules are approximately 80 nucleotides in length. Lineage: Varidnaviria; Bamfordvirae; Nucleocytoviricota; Megaviricetes; Algavirales; Phycodnaviridae. The record is from Rfam by way of RNAcentral.
GCCAGGAUGGCCGAGUUGGUUAAGGCGAUCGCCUCAAGAGCGAUUGGAUGUUAUGUCCGCGUAGGUUCGAGCCCUACUUCUGGCA